Long non-coding RNA from Daphnia pulicaria, 1239 nucleotides. RefSeq lists it as uncharacterized. Lineage: Eukaryota; Metazoa; Arthropoda; Branchiopoda; Diplostraca; Daphniidae. The transcript is spliced from 4 exons. The record is from RefSeq and is a predicted model, not a curated record.
CGUUGUAGUGUGAAGGGGUGCCGUGAACAGCCGCUUUUUAUUUGGCUCGCCCGAUGUGGUUGCUCGCUAGGCUUUUCAACGGUAGCAGGCGACUACCACAUUUUUCGUAAGUUUUCUGACAUAUGUUGGAUUACACGAUUUCGAACAACAUACGAGAAAUGGGAAAGACAAGAGUGUGUUGUAUUUGUGGUAUUUCUUCAGAUUAUAAAAAGAAGAGUAGAAAUUCCCGUAGCUUUUUUAAUUUUCCGAACCCGAAUAUCAAAAAGUUAGUGCCGUUUGAUAAGGAUCUGUUGGAAAGGAGGCUUGUUGCAUGGAAAGAAGUUGUUGGAACUAAUUAUGAUAAUGUCCCUAUUGGGCUGACUUGUGUUUGUUCUGACCACUUCCAAUCAGGUAAACCAGCUCACUUUUGCAAUUCAAACGAUAUUGAUUAGAUACCAUCAAAGAAUUUGGAUCUGUUGGUCACUAACAAAACAAGAAACACUCAAUAUGCAAACGAACAUUCACACAAUUACAAUGAUGAAGAAUCAAAUGUUGAUGUCACCUUACUUAAUGAUGACACAGCUUCAUCAUCAGACAUUGUUGAAAACAGCACUGCAGCUACAGAGUACAGUAGUUCACAGCCUAAUCCUAGUAUAGAUUUCAUUUCAGCAGCCUGGAAAUACAGAAAUGAAAUAGCAAGCUUGAUCUACGACUUGAGAAGAGCUGGUGUUGAAAGCCCACAAGAAUGUAAGUUGGGUGACUUGAUUCAUUUUCAUGAACAGGAUACCUACGUCAAUGAAGCAGUCCUUAUGAGAACACAAUUAAACCAAAAGACAAUUGCUUUGGAGUCGUGUAACCUCGAAUUAGAUAAUAUGAAGAAAGAGCUGGAAAUAGCAAAGGAGUAUAUAGGUAACCUAAGAGCACAAUUAGAAGAGAACACCCAAACAUUGUGCUCAUACCUAGCUAACCGCUCAUAAUUUGUGUUUUCUAAUUUGAAAUCUCAAUCAUGUGAAAUCGCAAUCAAAGUCUCAAUCAUGUCAUCAGUAUCAAUGUAUCAGUAAUCAAAGUCUCAAUCAUUUGAAAUCUCAAUCAUCAAAGAAUUUUUUAAUCUGUCGAGCGAAUCAGAUUACUUAUUUUUAUUCGGAAACGCAGGUUGGGUUUUUCAGUUUAGUUGUGGGAUUCCGGACUGUGUUAUGAAACACUUGAAUUGCGGUUUGUUUUUUGGCAAAAUAUAGAUCCGAAUAAAACCUAGCUUUCUUU